RNAcentral lists this transfer RNA (93 nucleotides) under Dyella nitratireducens. RNAcentral's name for it is "tRNA-Ser". The record is from RNAcentral. Lineage: Bacteria; Pseudomonadati; Pseudomonadota; Gammaproteobacteria; Lysobacterales; Rhodanobacteraceae.
CUGGCCGUGGGCGACUUGAUGACGUCCACGCUAUGGAACAGCGUGGCGGGCAGCAUGGUGAAGUCGGGUUGUUGCGAAUCGAUCUGGUCCGCC